ACUUUCCUGAUGUGGCAGUAUCGUAGUCAAUGAGGUUUAGCUGAGAUGCGAUUAUUGCUAAUUGAAAACUUUUCCCAAUACCCCACCAUGACGGCUUGAAAUACAGUCGGUGUUGGCAAUUUUUGGCAGUCUCUACGGAGG
This is a small nuclear RNA of Saimiri boliviensis boliviensis (Bolivian squirrel monkey), 141 nucleotides long. Its record names the gene U4. It matches the Rfam family "U4 spliceosomal RNA". Rfam says of the family: U4 small nuclear RNA (U4 snRNA) is a component of the major U2-dependent spliceosome. Lineage: Eukaryota; Metazoa; Chordata; Mammalia; Primates; Cebidae. The record is from Ensembl.